CGCGGAGGUUUCUUCACAACGGAUCGUCCGGCACGUACCUGCCGGUGAAGGAGUUUGAUU
Molecule: regulatory RNA element, 60 nt
Organism: Branchiibius sp. NY16-3462-2
Lineage: Bacteria; Bacillati; Actinomycetota; Actinomycetes; Micrococcales; Dermacoccaceae
Rfam family: msiK RNA
Source: Rfam